This 250-nucleotide ribosomal RNA is filed under the name uncultured Enterococcus sp. Its description in RNAcentral is "partial 16S ribosomal RNA". It matches the Rfam family "Bacterial small subunit ribosomal RNA", at positions 94 to 339 of the family's 1533-position model. Lineage: Bacteria; Bacillati; Bacillota; Bacilli; Lactobacillales; Enterococcaceae. The record is from RNAcentral.
AGUGGCGAACGGGUGAGUAACACGUGGGUAACCUGCCCAUCAGAAGGGGAUAACACUUGGAAACAGGUGCUAAUACCGUAUAACACUAUUUUCCGCAUGGAAGAAAGUUGAAAGGCGCUUUUGCGUCACUGAUGGAUGGACCCGCGGUGCAUUAGCUAGUUGGUGAGGUAACGGCUCACCAAGGCAACGAUGCAUAGCCGACCUGAGAGGGUGAUCGGCCACACUGGGACUGAGACACGGCCCAGACUCC